AUUAGUAGAGCUAACUUAUUAUCUUUUAUAGAAUAUAUAAAUUAAUGUUUCAAAAUUAAUUUAAAAUAUUAAGUUAGGUGUGAAAGGCUUACCAAUUCUAAUAAUAUCUGGAUUUUCUUUAAAUGUAUUUAGUACAAAAUAAUAAUUUGAUUAUAAAAAUGUUAAGGUUUUUAUGAAUAAGAAUUUUUUUUUGAAAAUUUAAUUAUAGGAUAAAUCUUUUAAUUAAUUGAAAAUUUAAAAAUUAAUUAAUUGAAAAAUCUUUAAUGUAAAGAGAUAUUGAAUUUAAUUAUAAAUUGAAUAGAUUCUGUUAAAAUAAGUAUUUUAUAAAUAAAUUAAUUAAAGGAACUCGGCAAAAAUAAUAUUCAACUGUUUAUCAAAAACAUAGCAUUAUGAAAAUAUAUAAAGUAUAACCUGCCCGGUGAAAUAAUUAAACGGCCGCAGUAUUUUGACUGUGCUAAGGUAGCAUAAUAAAUUGGCUUUUAAUUGAAGUCUUGAAUGAAAGGAUAAAUGAAUAAUUACUGUCUUUAUUUAAAUUUUAAGAAAUUACUUAUAAGGUGAAAAUUCCUUAGAUUAUUAUAAUAGACGAGAAGACCCUAGGAGUUUAUUUAACAAUUUACAUUGUAAUAUUUUGUUGGGGCGACAAUACAGCAUAAUAAACCUGUAUUUUAAAAUUUUUAUAACGAAAAGUUUUAAUUUAAAUUAAACUACCCUAGGGAUAACAGCAUAAUUUAUUUUAAGUUUGUGACCUCGAUGUUGGAUUAGGAAAUUUUAAUAUUAACAAUAUUAAAAAUUAGUUCUGUUCGAACUUUAUUUCCUACAUGAUCUGAGUUCAGACCGG
Molecule: ribosomal RNA, 838 nt
Filed under: Tandonia budapestensis
Lineage: Eukaryota; Metazoa; Mollusca; Gastropoda; Stylommatophora; Milacidae
Description: partial 16S ribosomal RNA
Rfam family: Bacterial large subunit ribosomal RNA (bases 363-512)
Source: RNAcentral